RNAcentral lists this unclassified non-coding RNA (275 nucleotides) under fungal sp. RNAcentral's name for it is "partial internal transcribed spacer region". The stretch from base 1 to 46 matches the Rfam family "Eukaryotic small subunit ribosomal RNA", at positions 1786 to 1831 of the family's 1831-position model. The record is from RNAcentral. Lineage: Eukaryota; Fungi.
AAGUCGUAACAAGGUUUCCGUAGGUGAACCUGCGGAAGGAUCAUUACUAGAUUGUCUCUCUAGACAUCUAACCAUGUGUGAACUGUUUACUCUGACCUGGUGUCUCUGGCCCGUUGACCUCAGUCAACUUGCUUAGGCGGCCUCGGCUGUCUGGGGAGUUGGUUUGGGGGUCGUCGCCUGGGCACCAACUUUACUUGAACCACUCUCUGAACCUGUACUGAAGCCUAUAAGAAGCAAAGACUAGAAAACUUUUAGCAAUGGAUCUCUAGGCUCUU